Molecule: ribosomal RNA, 524 nt
Filed under: uncultured bacterium
Lineage: Bacteria
Description: partial 16S ribosomal RNA
Rfam family: Bacterial small subunit ribosomal RNA
Source: RNAcentral
GACGAACGCUGGCGGCGUGCCUAAUACAUGCAAGUCGAACGAAGCUGUUUUAACUGGUGCUUGCACCGACUUAAACAACUGAGUGGCGAACGGGUGAGUAGCACGUGGGUAACCUGCCCCAAAGCGGGGGAUAACAUUUGGAAACAGAUGCUAAUACCGCAUAACCACAGAAACCACAUGGUUUCUGUGUCAAAGAUGGUUUCGGCUAUCACUUUGGGAUGGACCCGCGGCGUAUUAGCUAGUUGGUAAGGUAAUGGCUUACCAAGGCAAUGAUACGUAGCCGAACUGAGAGGUUGAUCGGCCACAUUGGGACUGAGACACGGCCCAAACUCCUACGGGAGGCAGCAGUAGGGAAUCUUCCACAAUGGACGAGAGUCUGAUGGAGCAACGCCGCGUGAGUGAAGAAGGUUUUCGGAUCGUAAAACUCUGUUGUCAGAGAAGAACGUGUGCGAGAGUAACUGUUCGUGCAGUGACGGUAUCUGGCCAGAAAGCCACGGCUAACUACGUGCCAGCCGCCGCGGUAA